UUUUCCCAGGGGGUACCUGCGGAAGGAUCAUUACACACAGCAUGCCAGAAGGGUAGACCUCCCACCCUUGUGUAUUAUUACUUUGUUGCUUUGGCGAGCUGCCUUCGGGCCUUGUAUGCUCGCCAGAGAAUACCAAAACUCUUUUUAUUAAUGUCGUCUGAGUACUAUAUAAUAGUUAAAACUUUCAACAACGGAUCUCUUGGUUCUGGCAUCGAUGAAGAACGCAGCGAAAUGCGAUAAGUAAUGUGAAUUGCAGAAUUCAGUGAAUCAUCGAAUCUUUGAACGCACAUUGCGCCCCUUGGUAUUCCGGGGGGCAUGCCUGUUCGAGCGUCAUUUCAACCCUCAAGCUUAGCUUGGUAUUGAGUCUAUGUCAGUAAUGGCAGGCUCUAAAAUCAGUGGCGGCGCCGCUGGGUCCUGAACGUAGUAAUAUCUCUCGUUACAGGUUCUCGGUGUGCUUCUGCCAAAACCCAAAUUUUUCUAUGGUGACCUCGGAUCAGGUAGAGACACCCACUGAACUUAAGCAUAUCAAUAAGGCGGGAGGAA
RNAcentral lists this ribosomal RNA (543 nucleotides) under Botrytis cinerea. Its description in RNAcentral is "eukaryotic LSU rRNA". The stretch from base 180 to 333 matches the Rfam family "5.8S ribosomal RNA". The record is from RNAcentral. Lineage: Eukaryota; Fungi; Ascomycota; Leotiomycetes; Helotiales; Sclerotiniaceae.